AAACUUCCAACAACGGAUCUCUUGGUUCUGGCAUCGAUGAAGAACGCAGCAAAAUGCGAUAAGUUAUGUGAAUUGCAGAAUUCAGUGAAUCAUCGAAUCUUUGAACGCACAUUGCGCCCGCCAGUAUUCUGGCGGGCAUGCCUGUUCGAGCGUCAUUU
RNAcentral lists this ribosomal RNA (158 nucleotides) under Fusarium piperis. Its description in RNAcentral is "5.8S ribosomal RNA". It matches the Rfam family "5.8S ribosomal RNA". From Rfam's summary of the family: 5.8S ribosomal RNA (5.8S rRNA) is a component of the large subunit of the eukaryotic ribosome. It is transcribed by RNA polymerase I as part of the 45S precursor that also contains 18S and 28S rRNA. Functionally, it is thought that 5.8S rRNA may be involved in ribosome translocation. The record is from RNAcentral. Lineage: Eukaryota; Fungi; Ascomycota; Sordariomycetes; Hypocreales; Nectriaceae.